RNAcentral lists this ribosomal RNA (478 nucleotides) under uncultured bacterium. RNAcentral's name for it is "partial 16S ribosomal RNA". It matches the Rfam family "Bacterial small subunit ribosomal RNA", at positions 28 to 506 of the family's 1533-position model. The record is from RNAcentral.
GAUGAACGCUGGCGGCGUGCUUAACACAUGCAAGUCGAACGAAGCACCUUGAUUCGAUUCUUCGGAUGAAGAUCUUGGUGACUGAGUGGCGGACGGGUGAGUAACGCGUGGGUAACCUGCCUCAUACAGGGGGAUAACAGUUAGAAAUGACUGCUAAUACCGCAUAAGACCACCGCACCGCAUGGUGCAGGGGUAAAAACUCCGGUGGUAUGAGAUGGACCCGCGUCUGAUUAGGUAGUUGGUGGGGUAACGGCCUACCAAGCCGACGAUCAGUAGCCGACCUGAGAGGGUGACCGGCCACAUUGGGACUGAGACACGGCCCAAACUCCUACGGGAGGCAGCAGUGGGGAAUAUUGCACAAUGGGGGAAACCCUGAUGCAGCGACGCCGCGGGAGCGAUGAAGUAUUUCGGUAUGUAAAGCUCUAUCAGCAGGGAAGAAAAUGACGGUACCUGACUAAGAAGCACCGGCUAAAUACGU